CCUUUCCAUAGUACUGUCCCACAUCUUCGGAUGUGGGAUGCAUUUUCUCGGAAUGUAGGUUCAGGCGCUCAGUUCUAGGUUCGACAGUGAUUCUUCGAGCAUGCUGUUCUACAUCCUCUGUUGUGGUGAGUCCUCAUGUUCCGAGGACAUGAUGUCUGAUGUUGGUUUCACGAAAUUGUUUACAUUUGAUAACUGAGUAUGAGUCUGUUGUGGCAUGUCUCAAUGAGUCUGUUGUGGCAUGUUUCAAUGGCUCACUGGUUUUAUUGAUUUUCUUAGAGGCUUGUCAGACUAGUAUAGAUGUUGAGAGUUGACUAAUAAGUCAUAUUUUGUUAUCUUUCUGAAAUUCUUUUAUUCUUGGAUGAUGAUUACUCUGUUGAUAUUUGAGGGUUAUUUAUAGAAACCCCGUUGAUUUGUGUUGAACUGAAUAAAAAUGGCUCAAAGUGUUAGCUUGGGGCUACUCGUAGCCUCAAGCACCGUGUGAUGCUCCGAGACCCGUUUUUCGGGGUGUUACAAUUAUGAAACCAGUUAAGCAUUUAUCUGAAUAAAUCUAUAAAUGAAGUUGUUUUACUUUUUGUAAUCUAUAAUAAAUCUAUAAAGUGGAUUCCAAAGCUCAUCUGAGGAUCAAAAGAUCAAAACAUUAUUGUAAAUAUGAUAUAAUUAGCUCAUAAAAUGCAUAAAGCAUUAUCUUUCUCAAAAUAACAAUAUUCAAUCUUAGGGUAAUAACCCAUGUAUCAAACUCAUGCCAAAACAUCAUAAUAAUCAUGCUUGAUAAUGAAAAUAAUGUUAAUUCAUCUCAAAAUCUGUAAUUUACUGCAAUAGGCAUGAAAAUAUAAAAAUAGACUUGCAAUUCAUCUUCAAAAUAUCUCAAAAUCUCAAAACUUUGCAAAUAGCAAUAAUGGGUAUGAACCCUAAUUCAAAUCUCAUGUAAUUUCAUUCAAAAUCAUGUAAAUUUGUGAUUGAAAACUAAUUUUGGGCACAAGGAUGAAAGGAGAACCUUGUUUAAAAACCCCACAUACUUUAAUUGAUGAUCUUAGAUGAAAAGCUUGAAUCUUGGGUUACUAUGAUGCUUUUGAAGAUGAGUUCUUGGAGUUCUUAAAUAUCUUGUCUUGGGAAUCCUCAAUCUAAAGCUUUCUUGGAGAAUCUAUGGUGGAAUUUGGUUUCUUGGAGAAGGGGCUUUUGGUUUCUAGGGUUUUUCUUUUGGAGAAUGGUGAAUAAUGAGCAUAAAGUGCUUAGAAUAAGCUUAAAUCUUACCAAAAUGCCCUUUUUAAACUCUAAGUCAGAGCUGAAAAAUGCAAUAUUUUUCCCGAUUUGGUUGGCAAUCGCGACGCGCCACAAUUGUGGUGGCUCACUGGAAAAGGACGAGUGGAAACUGGGCAUUCUCCGUGAUGAGUCUAACGAAUGGUUUCAGCUGUAUGCUCUAUUCCCUAUCUAAUUUUGGCAUGUCUAGUGUCAUUUGAGGACGAAUGUUUCCAAGGAGGGGAUGAUGUAAUACCCUGGGAAAUUUUUCAUUGAAAUUUUGUGCGUAAACGUGUUGGGUUCUAUCUUCUAGAAUGAAUUAUAAAUUUUUCAUAUAGAAUGUCUUAGAUUAUAACCCACUAUUGUGUAGAGUAUCGAAUAAGAUUUCCAACGAUAUGUGGAUCAUCCAAAACGGACACCCGAGCGACGAGUUAUGAACAUUCCAAUCGAACCGUGAAUAGUAGUGAACAGUAAAACAUGCAGGAAAAAGUACUGAGGCCUGGCGUAUUUUUUGCUCCAAAUUUAAAUGAUCUAACUCCUUGUACAUAAUUAU
Molecule: long non-coding RNA, 1789 nt
Filed under: Capsicum annuum
Lineage: Eukaryota; Viridiplantae; Streptophyta; Magnoliopsida; Solanales; Solanaceae
Description: long non-coding RNA (CANN_LNC022380)
Source: RNAcentral